This is a long non-coding RNA of Ictalurus punctatus (channel catfish), 5037 nucleotides long. The record is from Ensembl. NCBI's taxonomy places the organism in Eukaryota, Metazoa, Chordata, Actinopteri, Siluriformes, Ictaluridae.
GAUGGCAGGGGUGUGGCUUAUUAAGUCCUGUUUAUGUAGGUUAUAAAAUUACCGUGCGGGUUGUAUGGAAGUGCGUCAUUCUGAUCAUCAUCUUUUCCGCCACUCCAUUUCUGGCGUGGUGUGUGAGUGCCUGGAAGAUUUUUGGAUGAUUUUGUCUACUAUUUUCUACAUGUGCUACAGAAAGAGGCUGGUUUAACCAGCUGUGGCUUGUCAUUGGACCGUUAGACACUAUCACCUGGCUGGGUUGGUACUUCGGCUCUCCGCAAGAAUUGGGCAACCGGAGUCAGGGAGCUCAGCGCUUUCUCCUUUCCCUCUGGUGGUGGUAUCCUUCACUAACUGCUGUGCUCGAUUUUGGGGUGCUGUGUGUCAGCUGUAUGUUCACAGGUGGUUGCAGUGUCCUUUUGAGUAGGAGAUUAAAGGUGACCCUUGUCCUGGGUGAUCAUGAGUGCUGACUUAAUUCUGGUGUGGUGUUGUAUGUGGGGGGUUUUUUGUGCUUUUUUGUUUUCAUUGUCUUCUGUGUGUAGCGAGAACUGGAGAUGCUGACGGUUUUUAUCUGGCUUCUUAAAUAAAAAUGUUUUGUACUCUACUCAUGUCUCAUACCUAUUGCUAACUGUAAGGCCCCAUUAGCAGGCCCCCAGGGUGGCAUAGUCGACAUAUUGAGGUGUGUGUUCCUUAUUUUUUGGUUAUUUUCAUUUCUGUUAUUUUUCUGGUCCUCUUUGUUUAUACCCUCAUGCUGCCACAUCUGACAUAGUCGGCUGGAUCUCAGUUGCUGUAAAAGUUUGAGACAAUAGUGAGAAAUAUUUUUUGUAUAUUGUUUAUGGUUUGUUUUUUUCGUUCUUCUUUUUUCUUUAUAGCAGAGUGGUGGUGACUGUUCAGCAGAGGUGUUGUUUUUCUUCCUGGUAAGCAUACUCUGCAAUGGUUAAACUAUGGAGGAGGAAUUGCAAGAAAUUAGGGAUUUAGCGGCCCAAUUAAGGGCAGAUAAUGAGCGACUACGCCUAGAGUGGGUGCCAAUUGAGUUGCUCAAUCCUGGCACAGCCUCUCUUAGUGUGGCGUCACUGGUUAUGCCCCAGUUGGUUGGUAUGAGUGUCGGGGUGGCAAAGCGAUUUGUGUUUAUACCAAGAGACAGGUGCUGUCCUAAAUUUCAUGGUAGGGCCUGUAUCUGUAUUAACGAGUGGGUUGAAGAAGCCCAGGUGUGUAUGCGUGUGCAUAAUAUGUCUCUUGCUGAUCAAGCCUUCUUCUUAUUUGAUCAUCUAGAAGGAGAGGCCUGUAAUGAGAUAAAUAUCGGCCAGAGGUUGAAAAGAGCGAUCUAGAUAAGAUUGCUUGAGCGCUGCGUGAGUUGUGUAUGUGAUCUGAGUCGUAUGUUGCACUGCAAGAAGCGUUUUUCCCUCUGUAAUCGCUGGUUUUCUACAUUAGCGCUGGUCAGUCUGUAUAACCAAGUCCCUGUCUCUGAAGUUGACUGGCCUAAGACCGCUUUUUGUGCGACGUUUGGACUACUUGAAUGGACUCGGAUGCCUUUCGGUCUAUAUAACGUCCCAAUUACAUUCGAACGUUUGAUGGAAUGGCUUUUUGGAGACCAGAGGCAUCAAUCUGUUUUAUUAUGUCUUGGUGAUAUUAUUGUGUUUUCCUCAUCUGUGCAGCAACAUCUGCAGAGAUUGCGGGUGGUGUUGGGUCGCUUGAGAGCCGAGGGCCUUAAAGCUAGAGAAAUGUGUGUUUUUUAGGGUAGAGGUAAGGUACCUGGGGCAUGUUAUCUCUGCACAGGGGGUAGCAACAGACCCCAGUAAGAUGGAGGCAGUGGCUCAAUGGCCUCGCCCUACAACGGUGUCUGAAUUGCGGACCUUUUUGGAUUUUGUCAGCUAUUAUAGGUGUUUUGUGGAAGGGUUCACCAAGUUGGCUGCCCUGCUACACAAAGUAGUGGCUGAAUUAACUGGAGAUAGGUCCAGUAAGUGUCAUCAGGAUUUGACUACUGUUCAGUCGGAACAGUUUGAAGAAGCCUUCCAAGCACUCAAACACAAACUCAACACUGUACCCAUUCUGGCAUAUGCAGAUUUUGUGUGCCGCUUUAUUUUUUAGGUUGAUCUACACAGGAUUAGGGGCAGUGCUUUCACAAGAGUUUGAUGGACCUGUUUACGCUAGUCAUAGCCUUAGAAGAACUGUGACUGUAAUAAAACUUACAGCUGAUUUCCUUAUAAAACUGCACUAAUUGUACCUGAGACUACUAAUAAAUUUUUUAAGCAAAUGGCUGACACACCAAAUAUUGACUUUGUUUAAUUUAUGUCUGUUUACUGCUCUUUAUAGUUGUUUUUUUGUUGUUGUUUUUUUUAAAUGUAGAAACAUUUAAUUUCAUUAAGUUUGAAGGCAUCUUUGCUCUACAGCAUUUCUUUGCAUGUGCCUAUUAAGACUUUUUGUCAUGUAUCAGGAAACUCUGGACUCCAGUUCCCAUCAGCCACUGCACUCCACUACAUGUCACAUGACCACCUACACCUGAUUCAUGUUUCUGUUAAUGAGCACUCUUGUAUCUAUAGCCAUUGUCUGCACUGUUUCUGUCUUUCAUUGUCUUAGACUACGAUGUUCCGUGUUUCCAUGUUUUGUUUCAUGCCACAGUAUUUUGCCUAGUUGUCUUAGUGUCUAUAUUUUGUUGUUUGUUUAUAUAAUAAAUGUUAUAUAUCUGCGAUUGCUUUCGAACCCAUCCUUGAUUCAUGACACUUUUGCACAGUACUAAUAUUCUGUACCGGGUCUCUCUCUCUCUUUCUCUCUCUCUUCCAGGAAGAUGGAUUAUUAACACCUACUAUGUGUAUAACACAACGGGACAUGAGUGUGUUUUUUUUUUACUACAAGACUGUGUGUGUUUUACUCUUCCUCCAUAUCAGCACCGGAAAGUGUGUCAUUUGACUUUGAAUGACCCCAUGUUUUUCAGGAUGGCACCUUCAACCCCAAACAUAUACAGCCACUCCUUUAAUUUCCUGCUUCAUUAUUUUAUUGCCCUACUGUUCCAUAGAAAAUAACCUCAUAAACCUACCUCACACAUAAGAUAUUGCUGGAGUGCAUGAACACAAUCUUUAAAUUGCAAUGGUUAAGGCCUGAUUGAAAUACUCCACAAGUAUACCCGUAUCAUUAACAGAAAUCAUAUGGAUAUACCACCAAUACUGUUUUGGUAGAUUCUGUAGAAAAACCCACUGUGAAGCAACAAGGGGCCGCUAAUCACUCAUUUAGUGAAUACUCAUAUGUGUAUGCUAACGUUGCAGUUUUUACUCGUAUACACAAUACAAUGUUUACAUGGUCAUCUGCUGUCUGUUCACAGUUGCUGUCACCGCCAGCCAUCCCAGCAUUGCCUCUCUUGUAGGGUCAAAAAUCAUUCACUGCAACACUGCUCAUUCUCUGCAAUCCCCCAAAUAACACCAGGGUGUCAUAAUGGUAUGGAAACCUGAUAGUUGAGAAUACACUGAACACUGAAGGGAGUAUCAGUCUUCCACCUACAGAGAGAAUCAACAAACCCAUGGGUUAAAGAUCAAUAGAGACUUUUAAUGCAUCCAGUUUGGUUGGAGUAAGACCAGCAGUGUUUCUGGUCUUUCAUAGACAAGGUGUAACCCAGCCAUGCAAUUAUAGAAUUACUUUGGAAAUUAUUUAAUUUGACAUGUAGGGCAAUUAUUAUAAUUACUUUAUUAUUAUUCUUUCUUAUUGUAUUUUGUUUUUGUAUUUUUCGUUAUUAUAGUCUUGACACCGUUGAUUGAGAUUUGAGCCAAUAGGAAGGCAAGGGGGAGCGGAAGUCCCGCCUCCAUGUAAUAUUUCUUUCGGCAGAUGCCUGCUUUUUAUUUCUUUUUUCAAUUGAGCCACGUAGCUGUCGCAACGUUGGAGAACUAUAUAUUUCUUAUAUAUCAAACUGAAACUUUGCGUAGAACUUUCCCAGUAUAUACUGCUGCAUAAUCAUUUUAUUUUGUGUAGCAAGAACGGAUUUUGGUGAGUUGUCUAUUUUGAGGUUUUUUUUUUAGAACUUGUAAUGUAGUAAGUUCAGCUAGCUAGCAUAGUUUCUACAUAGCAUUGCUGUUGCAGAUAAUUGAUAUGUUUACCUGUCCUAGAAAUAUUGAUAGCAUAGAAAUUACUUUUGUAUAUUAUCUACCUUAAUUCAUAUUUGAAGAGAGACAUGUUUUGUAAAGGAAGACACGAUCCAGUCAAAGUGGCUGGCUGCCUCGUGACAUUUUAGUUAAUUGAAUCUUGGAAUGGCGGCACUCAUGUGCUAAGAAAGAACACAAAGAGAUAUGCGCCAUUUUAUUUUCCUACUUUAUUGUGAAGGAUGUUUGCAACACAUUAUACUAAGAAUUGUAUGGUAUUUUAUGUUGUUCAAGGUAAUGCAAUUAAUACCCAUUGCAGUUCUUUAUACUUCAUGGUUAUUACUCAGAUUAUGAGUAAAUGUAUUUGUGAAAUUGAAAUGGUUAUUAUACAGUUGUACAACAUUUAGAAAUAUAGUCUUUACAACAUGAUUAGGCUUAAUGAUUAAGAAUCUAUUUUUUGUGAAUUAUCCUAUGUUGAUGUUGUUUUUAGUUCUUUAAGAAGAACAGUGUAAUGACCAGUAUAGUGUUGAGGUUAAUAGAAUGUAAGCAAUGUCCUUUUUCUUUUAAUAAGUGAACAGGCCAGGUUUUUUGUGUGGAUGAACAGUCUACUGCAGAGGAUUGAAACCAGACAGAAGAAACACCGAGCUCAUAGAACCCCUAUUCCUUGAAUCACUUGAUCAAGAUUUCUCUAAUCAGGGAAUAGCGACCCACCCAAACAAUUGCAUGCAGAAGAUUUGAACAUCUCCCUCAGAAUACCCGCCUAUGCGGCAGGACUGAUACAACUUGUGGGUAGGAUUUGAACAGAAAGAACCCUUUUGUAAGAAAACCAGAAAACUGUAAAUCCAUUUAUUUCAUUUAAUUCAUUUCCAUUUUAUUGUGACUCUGUAUUUUACUUUAAUUAAUAGUUCAUAAGUAAAGCCGGCAACUUAACUGUACUUACCUUGUCCACUGGUUUCAAUCCAUUUAGUUAGUUAUCAAUACACCUCCCUCC